This 395-nucleotide unclassified non-coding RNA is filed under the name soil metagenome. Its description in RNAcentral is "partial contains 5.8S ribosomal RNA, internal transcribed spacer 2, and large subunit ribosomal RNA". The stretch from base 1 to 120 matches the Rfam family "5.8S ribosomal RNA", at positions 35 to 154 of the family's 154-position model. The record is from RNAcentral.
GAUGAAGAACGUAGCGAAAUGCGAUAAGUAAUGUGAAUUGCAGAAUUCAGUGAAUCAUCGAAUCUUUGAACGCACCUUGCGCCUUUUGGUAUUCCGAAAGGCACACCUGUUUGAGCGUCAUGAAUACCUCAAUCUCCAUCUUUUCUUCGGAUUGAGGGGUGACUUGGAUGUUGAGCCCUGCUGGUAUGCUAUAUCAGCUGGCUUUAAACUUAUUAGCCGGCUCUGUACUGGAUCGGUUUGACUCGACGUGAUAAUAUUAUCGUUGAGGAUGCAUGUCUCAUGCAGCCGGAAAGUAUCAAAGCAGCUUCUAGCUUGCCUUUAGUGCACUUUUACAUUUUAGACCUCAGAUCAGGUGGGACUACCCGCUGAACUUAAGCAUAUCAAUAAGCGGAGGA